RNAcentral lists this long non-coding RNA (1906 nucleotides) under Gossypium barbadense (sea-island cotton). RNAcentral describes it as "long non-coding RNA (GBAR_LNC015895)". The record is from RNAcentral. Lineage: Eukaryota; Viridiplantae; Streptophyta; Magnoliopsida; Malvales; Malvaceae.
GAAAGGAAAGAAACAGAAUAGAAGAGACGAAACAGGGGAGAAAGAGGGGAGAAAGAAGAAAAAGAAGAAAAAAAGGGAAAAUAGGGUUUUUGAAGCUUGAAAUUUAAAUUGGUAAGUCAAAUUAGCCCUUUUCUCUUAAUUCUAAUGUUCUAAAAGCUUUAAAACAAAGUUUUGAUGGAAUUAAGUUGAUAUUUUGUAAGUUCAUAGGUUUUCAAGUAUAGUUUAUGUUGAACAAAAGAGAUGAAUUAGGGAUUAACUUGAAGGAAUUUUAAGUUAGAAUUGAAAAAGGGAUUAAAUUGUAAAAGAAACUAUAAGUUUUAUGUUUUAGGGACUAAAUUGAGGGAAAUUCGAAAUUACCAAAAUAUGCUGAAAUUUUGAUAGUUAAAUUUUAGUUUGGAUGAAAUUUGAAUAGAAAUAGAGUGUGAAUUGAAUUAGGAAAGUAAGUGAAUUUAGUUAGGAUUAAAUUGAGAAUAAGGAAGAAAUUGAAUAGAAAUUUAAUUAUUAUCAUAAUUAGUGCUGAAAUUAAUAGUAUAAAUUAUUAUCAUUUUCGUAGCUAGCAAAGAACCAGAAGCGUCGGCACGGAAGGGAAAAUAGAAGAUUAUCGAGGAGUAAACUCGAGAAAAUUACGGUUUGUAUUACUAUAAUUCAAAUUAUUUAUUUUUAAAUGUUAAAUUUUAAUUUAUGUGUCUAGUAAAUGAAAUGUGAGGUAAGUAUUAGUAUUAUUAUUAGUAUUAUUAUUAUUAUUAUGAGUGAGAAUUAAAUUGAAUAGUUGAUAUGAAAUAAUAUUUGAAUUGUUUGUUGAUUAAAAGCGGGAAAUGAAUUUGAAUCGAAUUGUGAAUGGUAUUAAAUUGUAUGGAAAUGUAUUGAGUUGUGAAAAUGUGUGAAGUUGUGAAAUAAUUAUUGAUUGAAAGGUGGAAAAAUGAUUGAAUUGAAAAUGUGAAAAAUUGUAAUUGAAUUGAGAAUAUAUGUGAUUUAAAUACCCUAUUAACUAGUCGGGCUGAGUCGGAUAUAGUUGGCAUGCCAUAGGAUUGGAAGAGUUCAGGGAUACUUCGACCUCGAGUCGAUGAGACACUGGGUGUCACUAUAUUUCUUCGGAUAGAUUCGAUGAGGUACUGGGUACCAACUUUCUUCGGCUUUGCCGAUGAGACACUGGGUGUCAACUAUUGCUUCGAACUAUCCGAUGAGGCACUGGGUGCCAUUCUGGUGUGUUUGGUUGGAUCCGUGUAUCCGCCAAAGUCCGAGUUUUGUUAAUAGGGUAAAUGAUGAAAUGAUAAACCGAAUGAGUUGGUCAAACGAGCUAUUGAAAUGAUAUGAGAAAGUUGAAUUGUGAAUUGAAAUGUGAAAUGAGAUUGAGAAAUGAACCUAAGGUUCGUGAAUUAUUCAAACUCAAAUUGUGGAUAUACGAUAUUGGUUGAUGAAUUGCUAUUGUUGAAAUAUUUAAUUUAAAUUGUAUAUACGAUUUAUGCAUUACAUGUACAUUAUUGUUAUAAUUUGAAUUAUGGUAAUACCACUGAGUAUGAAUUACUCAGCGUACGGUUGUUUCCGUGCGCAGGUCAAUAGAAGUCAAAGGUCCCGGUUCAGCAUCCAGAUUAAUCCCGGCUUCGGCAAAACUUGGUGAUGUAUUUUUCCUUUGGUAAAGGUGGCAUGUACAUAGAUUGUGUAUAAAGGUUAUUAUGUUUUAUUAUAUAAUGGUUAAAAAUGUUAGUAUUAAAAGUUUAUGGAUUUUAAUGAAAGAAGUCUAUCUAUUUUAUCUAAUUAGUACAUUGUUAAAUUUUAAAUUGAUAUUGUGUAGAUUGAGUUUGAUUAGAAGUAUUUAGAAUAGAAAAUGUGAAUGUGAAAUGAAUUGGUUGAAUUGGUGAUAUUUGGGAACUAUAUGGUUUUAAUUUACAGGGGGUUUUAUGUAAAA